RNAcentral lists this ribosomal RNA (1008 nucleotides) under alpha proteobacterium D02. Its description in RNAcentral is "bacterial SSU rRNA". It matches the Rfam family "Bacterial small subunit ribosomal RNA", at positions 38 to 1079 of the family's 1533-position model. Lineage: Bacteria; Pseudomonadati; Pseudomonadota; Alphaproteobacteria. The record is from RNAcentral.
AAGGGGGGGUGGCUAAACAUGCGAGUCGAACGGAUCCUUCGGGAUUAGUGGCAGACGGGUGAGUAACGCGUGGGAAGCUACCUUGUGGUAGGGAACAACAGUUGGAAACGACUGCUAAUACCCUAUGAGCCCUAUGGGGGAAAGAUUUAUCGCCAUGAGAUGUGCCCGCGUUAGAUUAGCUAGUUGGUAAGGUAAUGGCUUACCAAGGCGACGAUCUAUAGCUGGUCUGAGAGGAUGAUCAGCCACACUGGGACUGAAACACGGCCCAGACUCCUACGGGAGGCAGCAGUGGGGAAUAUUGGACAAUGGGGGCAACCCUGAUCCAGCCAUGCCGCGUGUGUGAUGACGGCCUUAGGGUUGUAAAGCACUUUCAGCAGUGAAGAUAAUGACAUUAACUGCAGAAGAAGCCCCGGCUAACUUCGUGCCAGCAGCCGCGGUAAUACGAAGGGGGCUAGCGUUGUUCGGAAUCACUGGGCGUAAAGCGUACGUAGGCGGACUGAUCAGUCAGGGGGUGAAAUCCCGGGGCUCAACCCCGGAACUGCCUUUGAUACUGUCAGUCUUGAGAUCGAGAGAGGUGAGUGGGAACUCCGAGUGUAGAGGUGAAAUUCGUAGAUAUUCGGAAGAAACACCAGUGGCGAAGGCGGCUCACUGGCUCGAUACUGACGCUGAGGUACAAAAGCGUGGGGGAGCAAACAGGAUUAAAAUACCCUGGUAGUCCACGCCGUAAACGAUGAAUGCUAGUUGUCAGGUAGCUUGCUAUUUGGUGACGCACCUAACGCAAUUAAGCAUCCGCCUGGGGAGUACGGUCGCAAGAAUAAAAACUCAAAGGAAAUGACGGGGGCCCGCACAAGCGGUGGGAGCAUGUGGGUUAAUUCUAAGCAACGCGCAAAACCUUACCAGCCCCUUGACAUUUUGGCUCUACAACCGGAAAACGGUUGGUUCCUUUCUGGGAACUUCAGGACAAGGGGCUGCAUGGUCUGUCGUCAGCUCAUGUCCUGAGAAGUUGGG